ACUGGAGUUUGAUCCUGGCUCAGGAUGAACGCUGGCGGAAUGCUUUACACAUGCAAGUCGAACGGUAGAGGGGGCAACCCCUUGAGAGUGGCGAACGGGUGAGUAAUAUAUCGGAACGUGCCCAGUCGUGGGGGAUAACGUAGCGAAAGUUACGCUAAUACCGCAUACGAUCUAUGGAUGAAAGCGGGGGAUCGCAAGACCUCGCGCGACUGGAGCGGCCGAUAUCAGAUUAGGUAGUUGGUAGGGUAAAGGCCCACCAAGGCGACGAUCUGUAGCUGGUCUGAGAGGACGACCAGCCACACUGGAACUGAGACACGGUCCAGACUCCUACGGGAGCAGCAGUGGGGAAUUUGGACAAUGGGCAAAGCCUGAUCCAGCAAUGCCCGCGUGCAGGAUGAAGGCCUUCGGUUGUAAACUGC
Molecule: ribosomal RNA, 419 nt
Filed under: uncultured Limnohabitans sp.
Lineage: Bacteria; Pseudomonadati; Pseudomonadota; Betaproteobacteria; Burkholderiales; Comamonadaceae
Description: bacterial SSU rRNA
Rfam family: Bacterial small subunit ribosomal RNA
Source: RNAcentral